Molecule: long non-coding RNA, 375 nt
Organism: Trachymyrmex septentrionalis
Lineage: Eukaryota; Metazoa; Arthropoda; Insecta; Hymenoptera; Formicidae
Exons: 3
Source: RefSeq, a predicted model, not a curated record
CGUAACGAAACUAAAAAUAUAAUUACAUAUUUUUCCAGCAUCAUUGACUACUUGGUGUAUUUAGAAUAGCCGGCGGAGUAAAUGAGAAACUUCCGCGGAUCGAUUAUUAGAAAACUUUUGCCAUCGUGUCCAUUUCGCUAUGCGCGCAUCUUAUUAUACUCGGCGCUUUGUAGGACGAAGGUAUCCGAUCGAUUCAGGCACAGCACGUAGGAGAAGGCUUAGCUGCGCGAUAAAAAAGGAUGUUCUACAGUGGGGACGUGAAGAGAAAAAAUUGGAGUUUCAAUAGCGGAGUUCGAGCUCGUUCGGCUGCAAGAGCGAAAAUAAUGUGACGCCAAUUCUGCACUUUUGCGAAGUUCCUUUGAGAAAAUUUUCAAU